GCCGACAGUCAUAGGAGCGGGGGAAACACCCGGACUCUUUCCGAACCCGGAAGUUAAGCCCCGUUCCGUUCUGCGUUGUACUGGGUUCCGAGAGGGCCCGGGAAGCGCAGAAACUGUCGGCC
RNAcentral lists this ribosomal RNA (122 nucleotides) under Archaeoglobus sp. Lineage: Archaea; Methanobacteriati; Methanobacteriota; Archaeoglobi; Archaeoglobales; Archaeoglobaceae. The record is from RNAcentral.